UACGUAGGUGACAAGCGUUAUCCGGAUUUAUUGGGCGUAAAGCGCACGCAGGCGGCUGAUUAAGUCUGACGUGAAAUCUCUCGGCUUAACCGGGAGCGGUCGUUGGAAACUAAUUGGCUUGAGGCGAUGAGAGGGGUGUGGAAUUCCCGGUGUAGUGGUGGAAUGCGUAGAUAUCGGGGGGAACACCAGUGGCGAAGGCGACUUCCUGGCCUGUUCUUGACGCUGAGGCGCGAAAGCUAGGGGAGCAAACGGG
Molecule: ribosomal RNA, 253 nt
Filed under: uncultured prokaryote
Description: partial 16S ribosomal RNA
Rfam family: Bacterial small subunit ribosomal RNA
Source: RNAcentral